GAGAAGAUGAAGUUAUUGCCAUGGUUGGGUCUCCAUCAUAAAUCAAAAAAUUACCCCAAAAAUGGAAAAAAUUGGAUGUUUGUGUGUAUUAUGUAUUGGUGACCGUGCAUAGUCUUGUGGAGUUCAUUUGAGCAAAAACAAUGGCUUUCGCUGGCACCUUGCGAUGCCCACCAUCUAUUUGCCACUUAUCAAGUUCAAUUCCAUCUGUAUCUCCUUCUUCGCUCUCUUUCCAUUUUCCACUUUCAAUUUUCAAUAGCAAAAGAUCCCUCUUGUCCAUCAGGUCAGCUUCGGUGGAAGGUAAACUUCUUGAAUACAUAAAUGUGGAAUUAUAUCAAUUUAUCGAGGUUUAUUUAUUAUUAUUAUUAUUAUUAUUAUUAUUAUUUGGAUAAUAAAAUAUAGAGAAUAAGUGGGAUACUUCAAGAGUUUGGUGAGACGACUUUUUUGCCUCUGAAUGUUUGAUUUAUUGCCUUUGUGAUUCAGUGAAAAUCUGACACCGGGGGCGUCGAAGCCUUUCUCCCAUAUUCAAGCCUAAAAUGAGCUUGAAAAUAAUAUGUUUAUGAAGAAAUAGAUUCAUGGAUUGUGAAUAUUUUUUUGGAAAUGACAGUACUAGCGUGGAAUACACUGUGAAGUGAAAUUUAAUAAAGGAAGGAGAUAAGAAAAUAUUGAGGCUUUGGGAAAGAAAAUUUCAAAAAUAAAUACAUAAUAUAUUGUUCUUCAAGAGUGAAUAAUGAUGAUCCACUCUAGUUAUUGAUACUUUCUCUUGUUUUACAACAUUUGGACCAUGCCGAAGAAACCAUUUGCAACAUCAGAGCAGAAAGCAUAGGAUGAUUAAAUAAUUUGAUGAUUAUUCAUGUGGACUUAAAUAACAUGAUAAUAAUUCUUUUUGAUGAGGGGGUUCUUGAUUUUCAAUAGGCCUUUGCUGUUAAAUAAAUAAUUUGAUGGUUAUUCACGUGGACUUAAAUUUUUCACAGGGAUACUGAUGUAGUAAGUGGAUUUAGACUGUACAUGGUUUCUUCUUGUUUCUGAUGUAUGGACCAAAUUGUUUAGGAUUUCAUGAUUACAAAAAAAAAAAAAAAAGGUUUGUUACUAUUGUGUUAUAGUUUAUGGAUUGCAUAAAACUAGUAAGAGAAACCUUUUGGUAUAGAAGAUAAUGUGAUCUAUUCACUGUGGAUACGUUGAACUUCAUUACUACAUUUUUCUAGCAAUGCACUUGUGACUAUGCUUUGUUUGCAUUUACUCUAAGUGAUAACUGAUAACCACUCCCCUAAAGUAAGGCCUUGAUUUGUGGGUUUAUACUUAACCACCAUUUCAUUACAAACAAGUUUGGAGGGUGAGUCCAAUCUAGCAUGGCCAUGGCUAUUGUAUGAGACUAGCCACCAUUCUCAGGACGAUCCUCAUUGCCAAUAGGUGAAUUGGGAGGGAGGGUUACUUAAAAGUAAAAGAUGGGUUUAUUAAUGUAGCCCAUUGAGAAUAUGGUCCAUCACGGACGUCGACUUUGAAAUGAGUGGAGUGUAAUAACCCUAAUGUGUCUUAUAUUGUUAAGGCUUGACUUGUGGACAUGUAAUCACUUGGGAACCCUCCCCUUACAUGUAAGUUUUAAGUCUAAAUUCUACUGAAUGUGGUUUUAGCAUCUCGAGCAAUAUGAAAAUAUUUUGCAAUGUCAGCCGCCUUAAUGGACUUAAUUGUAUGUAAAUCUUGACAUUUCAAAUAAUUUGAUAAUAUAGUAGGGCAAAUAAGAGUCCUUUAUUGGUAUUGCAUGAAUCCCAUGGUCCCUCGGUCUUCAACUUUGCCACUUGAGCUACAUCUCAUUUGCAUAUUGUAGAGAAUUUAGAGAUUAGGCAAUGUUGUUGACAAAGAUUCUGCUUAAACAUGGUCCACGGAUUAUUUAGUGUAGAUAUAAUUAUGAUGCCAUCUGUUAGGUUCUUGGAUUUUGAUAUUUUAUUUUUCUAAUAAUCUUUCAACCAUGGUAGCAAGAAAAUUUUCUUAUUUAUUUCAAAAGCAUAAUGGCAUGAGGAAGAUUGGUUUGUCAAUUUGGUUUCGUUUUGAAAAUGCCCAUUUUAGCAAUUUACGGGAAAAGCCAUUUAAUAGCUCUUAGGGUUAGUAUGCAUUAUUCUUAUCGAAUUUUAUUGUGUAUGUAGUGCUAAAUAACGUUUUGAAAGCAUCUUCUUUAUUAAUUAUAUUCAAUGUUGUCCAAUCCAACAUACAAUACAUGCCCGAAAACUUUAUGUCCUCUUAUUUUCCUCCAUUGCAUUUUCUUACAGGAUAAAUUAGGUGAAUGGAUUUUCAAGAGUAGAAGCAGAG
Molecule: long non-coding RNA, 2301 nt
Filed under: Olea europaea (common olive)
Lineage: Eukaryota; Viridiplantae; Streptophyta; Magnoliopsida; Lamiales; Oleaceae
Description: long non-coding RNA (OEUR_LNC007989)
Source: RNAcentral